ACGGAAGAUCGGGAACUCUGUCCCCAUUAUUUGGUAUUCAGAGCCUCAGGUGUACUGUCAAGUUUAUAUUUACCCUAGUUUAGUUGAUUUUGCUUCGUCCCAUAGUCCACCGUCAUAUUUGUUUUCUGUCCUACAACCAUAUGCGCCAUAGCCUUGAAUAUUUCGGUUUCAGAGUUCACCGUGUUGAGUUUGUGUUCUAGGUCAAGGUCUUAUUGUUGGUUUAGAUUGUGUUCUUUCCUACUUUGUGUUAAUCUCUCCACCGGCCGCCAUCCUGUAUCAUCAUCUGUUUGCAUCUUGUGUCCACUAAGGCCUUGUUUAGUUCCGAUUUUUUUUUAUUUCGGGGUACUAUAGCACUUUUAUUUUUAUUUGGCAAUUAUUGUUCAAUCAUGGACUAACUAGACUUAAAAGAUUUAUCUCGUGAUUUACAGAUAAAUUGUGCAAUUAGUUUUUAUUUUUGUCUAUAUUUAGUGCUUCAUGCAUGUGCCGCAAGAUUCGAUGUGACGGGAAAUCUUGAAAAGUUUUUGGUUUUUGGUAGGAACUAAACAAGGCCUAAAACCCUAAUUUGAAAAGUUUCCUUAAAACUGUCAUGACUUUUACAUCCAAACUCGAAACGUAGUAAAUUUUAUAUCUACGGAGAACGCUAGAAAAUUUUUGAUCUGUUUUCGGAGAAGCAUAGCUGGGUUCGUAAAAAUUAGAUUUGCAAAAUUUGAUCAGGAAAGUUUUCGAGCCCACAAGUUUUGGCAUGACUUUUAGAGCACAAUCCUGAUUUUCUAUAGGCCACAUCUUUUAUCCAAUUAGGCUAAAUAUUUUGUGGUUUGCCCUUGUGUGCUUCUUGCUAAAGAAAAAAAUCAAAGAGCAAAAGCAAGAAAAAAAUUGGACAAAAAAGAAAAGAAAAAAUAUAGUAAAAAGUGAAGAGAUCGAAAAAGGAGCACACAAGGAACGCUCAAUAGUUGUGGUGCCUUUUGCCCUGUCCAUAUUUCUAUUGCUACCUUUCAUACUUGUUUCUAUUCAUACUUAUUUCACUCCUUUAUUUAUCACAACUGGUGCUAGAAACACGUAUAGGUCAGCAACUAGGACAAGUGCUCUGGACAUUUAUUUAAUAUACUAUCUGUAACGGACUUGUGUACCACAUAUAUAUAUUUAUUCUUUUGUAUGCCUUCUAAGCUUCACAUAUACUUC
RNAcentral lists this long non-coding RNA (1179 nucleotides) under Sorghum bicolor (sorghum). RNAcentral's name for it is "long non-coding RNA (SBIC_LNC015498)". Lineage: Eukaryota; Viridiplantae; Streptophyta; Magnoliopsida; Poales; Poaceae. The record is from RNAcentral.